This 2807-nucleotide long non-coding RNA is filed under the name Ictidomys tridecemlineatus (thirteen-lined ground squirrel). RNAcentral's name for it is "lncRNA (ENSSTOG00000034200.1)". The record is from RNAcentral. Lineage: Eukaryota; Metazoa; Chordata; Mammalia; Rodentia; Sciuridae.
AUGUCUUCCAAAAAAGCAUGUCUUCCAGAGGAUCCAUGUCUUCCAAUUGACCUCCAGGUCUUCCAGCCUAUCCACAUCUUCCAGAAAAUCCUUGUCUUCCAUAAAAUCCAUAGCUUCCGGAAUAUCCAUGUCUUCCAGCUAAUCCAUAUCUUCCAGGAAAUCCAUGUCUUCCAGGAAAUCCCCGUCUUCCAGGAAAUCUGCGUCUUCCAGGAAAUACGCGUCUUCCAGGAAAUCCAUGUCUUCCAGCUAAUCCACGUCUUCCAGGAAAUCCACGGCUUCCAGCUAAUCCAAGUCUUCCAGGAAAUCCACGUCUUCCAGGAAAUCCCUGUCUUCCCGGAAAUCCACGUCUUCCAGGAAAUCCACGUCUUCCAACCAAUCCACGUCUUCCAGCCAAUCCACGUCUUCCAGCCAAUCCACGUCUUCCAGCCAACCUAUGUCUUCCAGCCAAUCCAUGUCUUCCAGCCAAUCCACGUCUUCCAGCCAACCUACGUCUUCCAACAAAGCUACGUCUUCCAGGAAAUCCACGUCUUCCAACAAAGCCAUGUCUUCCAUGAAUCUAUGUCUUCCAACAAAUCCAUGUCUUCCUUCACCUCCAGGUCUUCCAGCAUCUCCAGGGCUUCCAGCAUCUCCUCAUCUUCCAGCAUCUUCAUGUCUUCCAACAUCCUCAGGUCUUCCUACAGCUACCCAGUCUUCCAUCAGCGGGCUGAAUAUCUGCGUCUUCCAAUGUCUCCAGUGCCGGUCUUCUCACAUCCAGGUCUUCCACCGUCUGCAAUAUCCAGGAUCUACCUGCUUCUUCAAAAAUCACUGACCUCCUGGGUUCCUGAUCACUGCCUUGUAUCCAACUAAUGGUAACUACAGCUCCUUAAAUCCCAGCAAGCUGACCUAGAGAACUAACUACUUGGUUCUCCAAGUCUCAGCUCUCACCAGACACUUGCAGAAAUGUUGCUACCCAUGCCUCUGGCUGCUAUGAAUGACAUGAAAGCCACACAAUGAAGUGACAGUUAGGCAAGUAAUCACCAUAAAGAUUUAGAAUCCUCUACAUGGUAAUAAACAGGAGCAACAACAAUAACAAUUAAAUAGCAACAUAUCAUCUGAAUUACAGUUUACGAAGUGCUAUCACUUCAUUGUUCAUCCAUCCAUUCAUUCAACAAAUAUUUAUUGAGUGCCAACUGGGUGCCAGGCUUAUCUGAUGGAACCUAAAAUCGGCUGGGGGAGUACAGACAGUGUACAGAUAAUUGAACAGUUAUUUAUCACUCGUGAUAAAGCCAUGAAGGAAAAGUAACAUAGGCUGCUGUGAGAGUUUGGAAAGUCAAGGAAAGCAUUCCUCAGGAAGGAACGUUCUUGGUGACUCAGAAGGAUCUAGUUUCUCAUUUGGUUAUCACAAUAAGCUGCAACUUAGAUAAGAUGUCUUUAUAUCAGUUUUUACCUAAGCAGAGUAAUUUUUGACAGUGGCCAUGGGAUUUGGGUGUUGGUUGGACCUCUUUUUUUUUUUUUUUUCUUUACUAUUACAUUCUGCCUUAAUUGAGGAAUAUAAAGCUGUAUUCUUUAACUCAAUACUUUCACAUCAAGGAAUCUAUCAAAGGACAUUUAAGAUGUGGAUGAUUCAUGCUCAAAGCUGUUCUUUGCAUAUUUAUUUGGUAGAGCAAAAAAAAAAAAAAAACAAACACCUAAGAGUCUAGCUUUAAGGAAAUGAUUAUGUUAAGUGUGCUGUUUACAUAUAAUGUAAUAUUCUUCCAUUAAAAUAUUUAUAGCAUGUUCAGUAUAUAAUGUUGAGUGAAAAACCAACAUACAAGAUGAUAUAAAGUGUGGCCGCAACUACUUGAAAUAUAUAACAAGAGAGAAAAGACUAGAAAUAAAUACAGUGGUGAUUGUGAACUAAUUAUCACUGGGUGAGCAGGAUUAUGUAUGAUUCUGUUUUCUUUUUUAUAUUCUUGUUUUUUCCCCCAAAGUCCUUAAAAUGACAGGGUAUUUUCUAUUCAGGAAAAAUGUUUAAACAGUUGUGCACCAAAAUUCAUUAUUAAUUUAUCCUUUUGCUUGUAUAUUUAAUCAUUUGAAAACACUUCAAAAUGUAAGUAAGCAAAGUGAAAAAAAAAAUGAAUUCUCAAAUAAUCUCAAUACCCAGAGAUAAUCACUGUGAAGAUUUUAGUGAAUAUUCUUCUAGACUAUUUCAAGGGUAUCUUUAUUUUCUUUUACAAAAUGUAGUCAUUCUACCAUUUAACCUAUUUCUUUCACUUCACAAUAAACUAUAACUUUUCAUGUCAGCAACUGCAUUUGUGUUCUAAUUUUAACACAAUUUACUUAGUCCAUCUCCUAUUAGUGGACAUUAAGUUCCUUUCAAUAUUUUAGUCUUGCAAAAAUUUGCUGUGAUGAGCAUAUAUGUUGUGAAAGUUGUGCCCAGUACAUACUAUGUGCAAAUUUGUUCAGAUAUUACUUAAUAUAAAUUACUAAAAGGAGAGGUACUUUGCCAAAGGCCUACAACUUAAUGCUUAUCACAGGAAAAAAUGACAAGCAAUUCAGAUGUUCAACAACUGGUGGUUAUUAAAAAAUUAUAACUCUAUGAUGGAAUACUCUCCAGCCAUUUGAAGCUAUGUCAUACAAGAAUAUUUACUAAAAUGGGAAUACGUUUGUAAGGUAUCAUUAGUGUGAGAACUAGGUCACAUGAAAAUGUAUAUGGUAUUCAUAUUUUGUACGAGGGAAACAAAAUAUAUUUGAAAGAAUACCCUAAAAUGUUAGUUUAAAAAGUCUCAAAAGAAAAAAGGAUAAAUUAUGAUAAUAUCUACACAAUGUGGUACUAUAUAGGAGUGAUA